This 63-nucleotide transfer RNA is filed under the name Longpotamon yangtsekiense. Its description in RNAcentral is "tRNA-Pro". Lineage: Eukaryota; Metazoa; Arthropoda; Malacostraca; Decapoda; Potamidae. The record is from RNAcentral.
CAGAGGAUAGUUUAAAAAAAAUAUUAAUUUUGGGGAUUAGAGAUGGAGAUUAUUUUCCUCUGA